This 496-nucleotide ribosomal RNA is filed under the name uncultured bacterium. RNAcentral describes it as "partial 16S ribosomal RNA". It matches the Rfam family "Bacterial small subunit ribosomal RNA", at positions 29 to 507 of the family's 1533-position model. The record is from RNAcentral.
AUGCACGCUGGCGGCGUGCCUCAUACAUGCAAGUCGCGCGAACAGACGAGGAGCUUGCUCCUCUGACGUUAGCGGCGGACGGGUGAGUAACACGUGGAUAACCUACCUAUAAGACUGGGGUAACUUCGGGAAACCGGAGCUAAUACCGGAUAAUAUAUUGAACCGCAUGGUUCAAUAGUGAAAGACGGUUUUGCUGUCACUUAUAGAUGGAUCCGCGCCGCAUUAGCUAGUUGGUAAGGUAACGGCUUACCAAGGCAACGAUGCGUAGCCGACCUGAGAGGGUGAUCGGCCACACUGGAACUGAGACACGGUCCAGACUCCUACGGGAGGCAGCAGUAGGGAAUCUUCCGCAAUGGGCGAAAGCCUGACGGAGCAACGCCGCGUGAGUGAUGAAGGUCUUCGGAUCGUAAAACUCUGUUAUUAGGGAAGAACAAAUGUGUAAGUAACUAUGCACGUCUUGACGGUACCUAAUCAGAAAGCCACGGCUAACUACGUG